GUUUGGCUCAGUUGGUAAGAGAACGGGAUUCUUAAUCUCAGGGUUGUGGGUUUGAACCCCACGGUGGAUA
Molecule: non-coding RNA, 70 nt
Organism: Podarcis lilfordi (Lilford's wall lizard)
Lineage: Eukaryota; Metazoa; Chordata; Lepidosauria; Squamata; Lacertidae
Source: the annotation of a GenBank genome assembly